Molecule: ribosomal RNA, 498 nt
Filed under: uncultured Glomeromycotina
Lineage: Eukaryota; Fungi; Glomeromycota
Description: partial small subunit ribosomal RNA
Rfam family: Eukaryotic small subunit ribosomal RNA
Source: RNAcentral
CCAAUAGCGUAUAUUAAAGUUGUUGCAGUUAAAAAGCUCGUAGUUGAAUUUCGGGAUUCUACCGUUGGUCGGGCUAUCCAGUCUGUACUAGCGUGUAGAAUUUCUACCUUCUGGGGAACCAUCAUGUUAUUAAUUUAGCGUGGUGGGAAACCAGGACCUUUACCUUGAAAAAAUUAGAGUGUUCAAAGCAGGCUUACGUCUGAAUACAUUAGCAUGGAAUAAUAAAAUAGGACGGUGGUCCUGUUUUGUUGGUUUCUGAAUCACCGUAAUGAUUAAUAGGGAUAGUUGGGGGCAUUAGUAUUCAAUUGUCAGAGGUGAAAUUCUUGGAUUUAUUGAAGACUAACUUCUGCGAAAGCAUUUGCCAAGGAUGUUUUCAUUAAUCAAGAACGAAAGUUAGGGGAUCGAAGACGAUCAGAUACCGUCGUAGUCUUAACCAUAAACUAUGCCGACUAGGGAUCGGACGAUGUUAAAUAUUAUUGACUCGUUCGGCGCCUUACG